RNAcentral lists this ribosomal RNA (305 nucleotides) under uncultured bacterium. RNAcentral's name for it is "partial 16S ribosomal RNA". It matches the Rfam family "Bacterial small subunit ribosomal RNA", at positions 337 to 659 of the family's 1533-position model. The record is from RNAcentral.
UCCUACGGGGGGCAGCAGUGGGGGAUAUUGCACAAUGGGGGGAACCCUGAUGCAGCGACGCCGCGUGGGUGAAGAAGCGCCUCGGCGCGUAAAGCCCUGUCAGCAGGGAAGAAAAUGACGGUACCUGAAGAAGAAGCCCCGGCUAACUACGUGCCAGCAGCCGCGGUAAUACGUAGGGGGCAAGCGUUAUCCGGAUUUACUGGGUGUAAAGGGGGCGCAGACGGCGAUGCAAGCCAGGAGUGAAAGCCCGGGGCCCAACCCCAGGACUGCUCUUGGAACUGCGGGGCUGGAGUGCAGGAGGGGCG